RNAcentral lists this ribosomal RNA (461 nucleotides) under uncultured bacterium. RNAcentral describes it as "bacterial SSU rRNA". It matches the Rfam family "Bacterial small subunit ribosomal RNA", at positions 389 to 865 of the family's 1533-position model. The record is from RNAcentral.
CAGCACGCCGCGUGGGGGAAGAAGGCUUUCGAGUCGUAAACCCCUUUUGCAGGGGAAGAAGAUCUGACGGUACCCUGCGAAUAAGCCACGGCUAACUACGUGCCAGCAGCCGCGGUAAUACGUAGGUGGCAAGCGUUGUCCGGAUUUACUGGGCGUGAAGGGCGUGUAGGCGGUCCGUUAAGUUCGGGGUGAAAUCUCCCGGCUCAACUGGGAGCGGUCCCCGGAUACUGAUGGACUUGAGGGGGGUAGAGGAAGGCGGAAUUCCCGGUGUAGCGGUGAAAUGCGUAGAUACCGGGAGGAACACCGGUGGCGAAGGCGGCCUUCUGGGCCUACCCUGACGCUGAGGCGCGAAAGCGUGGGGAGCAAACCGGAUUAGAUACCCGGGUAGUCCACGCCCUAAACGUUGGACACUAGGUGUGGGGGGUAUCGACCCCCUCCGUGCCGCAGCUAACGCUUUAAGU